CUUAUGUCUAUAUUGAUGGAUUUUAGAUCCAAUCGAAUGGGUACAUUGAUGGAUUUUUGAUCCAACCCGAUUGGCGGUGCGUCUUUUGGGGAGCGGGAUCACUUUUUUUUUUGAAGAAAAAAAAGGACGCCGGAAACGGCUCAAUCUAACUCGCGCCCUCUGCAUCACCCCGUUACCAUUCUCCACUGCUCUCUCCAUUUCCAUCCCUCCCUUUUUAAAUCUCUCCAAAGAUAUUGAAUCGUUGGUCGCCGCUUCUGCUCCUACCUUCCUUCGACUUCUCUCUUUCUCUCUAAUUUUGGGGUUUUUUUGUUUUAAUUUUUCUGCUACGAAUUUAUUUUGUUAAUUAAGCCAAUCGGUAGCAGUUUCUUUAAAUUUCGAGAAGGGGAUUUUGGGAAGAUGGGUUCGGUUCGGAAAAACGGUGGAUGAAUAGGCUUGUCGAGGAGGUUGCUGCCUGCAAUUUCAUUUGGGAUCCCGUGAUCGUCGACGGCACCAGCGCCUCAAGGAGGACCACCGUGCAGGUGAUGCUUGCUUUAAGAAACGGUACAAGCCAGCUUUCACUUCCCGACUACAAAUGUGUUUUGAUCCUACCAUCCUUGUUUUACCGCGUACCAUCAAAAGGGGAAGUCAAUAAAUAUAUCAAUGUUUGUUUCUAUGCUUUUUCCAGCCAUAAAUAUUGUCUGAUGUUUGUUUAUCUGCCUUUCCUUGCCUUGUACUCUAUUUUGGCUAUUUAAUUGUUUGUUACUAAACCAGUAUGCUUUGUUUAGUAACUAGUUCAGUUUUGUAACAUUUUCUCUAACCAUAUUAUUUUAAUAUAUAUAUGCGUGUGCGCACGCACGCUAUGCACGUACGUGCGCGUGUGUGUAUGUGCCUAUUGUAUUUAGUAUGAACUUGCUAAGCCUUGUGUAUUUUGUCUACCUUCCAAAAGGAAAAAAAAAAAAAGAAAUGGCAGUAUGCAAUUUAUCGACAGGAAAGUAUCCUGUGAUAUAUGUCAUUGUCCUAGCCCAGUGGCAUCUUCAAGGAAAAAUAUGACAAAUGCACUGAAACCUCUGAAAUUAAGAGACGAGCCAAGAAAAGGUGACGAUGUAGAACUCUAGCGUCCGCUUAAGAAUCCCGAGAAAAUACGAUGCUUGCUGACAAGAGUAUGUAAUAAAAAAUUAUGGUCCUCCACAAGUAAGAGGCAAGUUUGACCUCCAGCACAUCUAGGAUGAAGCAAAGGGUUACCUUAAGAUCACAUCUUUGCAAUUACAGUGCUUAUAUAGUCGACCAUAAUAUCAAAAUUAUACAAGCAAAUAAGAGGUAGUUGUUUCUUCUAAUCAUGUCAAAACUUUAAGGGGUGCUAAUGCUGCUUUAUUGCAUUUGAAGACGUGGGUGGCACGCUGCUAUCUUGAGAAAUUAUUGCUUUCUCCAUGAUAACCGUAAACCUG
Molecule: non-coding RNA, 1424 nt
Organism: Phoenix dactylifera (date palm)
Lineage: Eukaryota; Viridiplantae; Streptophyta; Magnoliopsida; Arecales; Arecaceae
Source: RefSeq, a predicted model, not a curated record